CUUGGUCAUUUAGAGGAAGUAAAAGUCGUAACAAGGUUUCCGUAGGUGAACCUGCGGAAGGAUCAUUAGUGAAUUGAAUAUGUUAGCGGACCUCUUCGGAGUCCCUAGCAUCAAAUCAUAUCCAUAACACCUGUGAACUGUAAGGCUGUCUUGAAAACGAAAGUGAUUAGAGCGCCUGCCCAUUUUAUACAAACAUUAAAGUAACAAACGUAGUCUUAUUAUAAUCUAAUAAAACUUUCAACAACGGAUCUCUUGGCUCUCGCAUCGAUGAAGAACGCAGCGAAAUGCGAUAAGUAAUGUGAAUUGCAGAAUUCAGUGAAUCAUCGAAUCUUUGAACGCACCUUGCGCUCUUUGGUAUUCCGAAGAGCAUGCCUGUUUGAGUGUCAUGAAAAUAUCAACCUUGACUUGGGUUUAGUGCUCUUGUCUUGGCUUGGAUUUGGCUGUUUGCCGCUCGAAAGAGUCGGCUCAGCUUAAAAGUAUUAGCUGGAUCUGUCUUUGAGACUUGGUUUGACUUGGCGUAAUAAGUUAUUUCGCUGAGGACAAUCUUCGGAUUGGCCGAGUUUCUGGGACGUUUGUCCGCUUUCUAAUACAAGUUCUAGCUUGCUAGACAUGACUUUUUUAUUAUCUGGCCUCAAAUCAGGUAGGACUACCCGCUGAACUUAAGCAUAUCAAUAAGCGGAGGA
This 683-nucleotide ribosomal RNA is filed under the name uncultured Basidiomycota. RNAcentral describes it as "eukaryotic LSU rRNA". The stretch from base 233 to 386 matches the Rfam family "5.8S ribosomal RNA". RNAcentral also lists the same sequence under 2 other names. Lineage: Eukaryota; Fungi; Basidiomycota. The record is from RNAcentral.